AUACGUAGGGAGCAAGCGUUAUCCGGAAUCACUGGGCGUAAAGCGUGCGUAGGCGGUCCAUCAAGCCUGAGGUGAAAGGCAACGGCUCAACCGUUGUAAGCCUUGGGAACUGUUGGACUUGAGUACAGGAGAGGAAAGUGGAAUUCCUAGUGUAGCGGUGAAAUGCGUAGAUAUUAGGAGGAACACCAGUGGCGAAGGCGACUUUCUGGACUGUAACUGACGCUGAGGCACGAAAGCGUGGGGAGCGAACAGGAUUAGAUACCCUGGUAGUCCACGCCGUAAACGAUGGGUACUAGGUGUCGGCAUGCGAGUGUCGGUGCCGCAGUUAACGCAAUAAGUACCCCGCCUGGGGAGUACGGUCGCAAGACUGAA
This 372-nucleotide ribosomal RNA is filed under the name uncultured bacterium. RNAcentral describes it as "bacterial SSU rRNA". It matches the Rfam family "Bacterial small subunit ribosomal RNA", at positions 523 to 898 of the family's 1533-position model. The record is from RNAcentral.